This 231-nucleotide long non-coding RNA is filed under the name Elaeis guineensis (African oil palm). Its description in RNAcentral is "long non-coding RNA (EGUI_LNC066895)". The record is from RNAcentral. Lineage: Eukaryota; Viridiplantae; Streptophyta; Magnoliopsida; Arecales; Arecaceae.
CGAUUACUAACUAUAAAUAGGGUACUGCAUUGGGUAUUCUAAUCCAUCAAAAAAUAAUUCCAUCUCUUCUUUCUUACAAGUCUCCUAGGUAGUCUGAAUAGUUCUCUUCCUUUCCUUGUUAGGACAAGUCCUAAAAUAGUAAGGAUAAGUCUGAUUUUAGGACAAGGAUCUAGGAAGAGAAUUAGGAAAGGCAAGGAGGAAGAAAGGAAGAGAUAGGAAGGCUAGGGAGAG